Molecule: small nuclear RNA, 121 nt
Filed under: Pocillopora damicornis (cauliflower coral)
Lineage: Eukaryota; Metazoa; Cnidaria; Anthozoa; Scleractinia; Pocilloporidae
Description: U5 spliceosomal RNA
Rfam family: U5 spliceosomal RNA
About the family: U5 RNA is a component of both types of known spliceosome. The precise function of this molecule is unknown, though it is known that the 5' loop is required for splice site selection and p220 binding, and that both the 3' stem-loop and the Sm site are important for Sm protein binding and cap methylation.
Source: Rfam by way of RNAcentral
UCACUCUGGUUUUCCUUCAUCACGCAUAAAUCUUUCGCCUUUUACUAAAGAUUUCCGUGGAGGAGAACAGUUGAAUGAGUCUAUAGACCAAUUUUUUUUCGCCCUGCCUUACGGCGGGGCC